Molecule: ribosomal RNA, 308 nt
Filed under: uncultured soil bacterium
Lineage: Bacteria
Description: bacterial SSU rRNA
Rfam family: Bacterial small subunit ribosomal RNA
Source: RNAcentral
AGAUUGAACGCUGGCGGCAGGCCUAACACAUGCAAGUCGAGCGGUAGAGAGGUGCUUGCAUCUCUUGAGAGCGGCGGACGGGUGAGUAAUGCCUAGGAAUCUGCCUAGUGGUGGGGGAUAACGUUCGGAAACGGACGCUAAUACCGCAUACGUCCUACGGGAGAAAGCGGGGGACCUUCGGGCCUCGCGCCAUUAGAUGAGCCUAGGUCGAUUAGCUAGUUGUGAGGUAAUGGCUCACCAAGGCGACGAUCCGUAACUGGUCUGAGAGGAUGAUCAGUCACACUGGAACUGAGACACGGUCCAGACCU